Molecule: transfer RNA, 73 nt
Filed under: Planctomycetaceae bacterium SCGC AG-212-F19
Lineage: Bacteria; Pseudomonadati; Planctomycetota; Planctomycetia; Planctomycetales; Planctomycetaceae
Rfam family: tRNA
About the family: Transfer RNA (tRNA) molecules are approximately 80 nucleotides in length. Their secondary structure includes four short double-helical elements and three loops (D, anti-codon, and T loops).
Source: Rfam by way of RNAcentral
GGGCACUUAGCUCAGCGGCUGGAGCACCUCGCUUACACCGAGGGGGUCGGGGGUUCGAAUCCCUCAGUGCCCA